Ribosomal RNA from Beta vulgaris subsp. vulgaris (sugar beet), 118 nucleotides. The record is from Rfam. Lineage: Eukaryota; Viridiplantae; Streptophyta; Magnoliopsida; Caryophyllales; Amaranthaceae.
GGGUGCAAUUAUACCGUACUAAUGUACCGGAUCCCAUCAAAACUCUGCAAUUAGGCGUGCUUGGGCGAGAGUAGUACUAGGAUGGGUGACCUCUUGGAAAAUCCUCGUGUUGCACCCC